AAAUUGAAGAGUUUGAUCAUGGCUCAGAUUGAACGCUGGCGGCAGGCCUAACACAUGCAAGUCGAACGGUAACAGGAAGCGCUUGCUGCUUCGCUGACG
This 99-nucleotide ribosomal RNA is filed under the name Escherichia coli. RNAcentral describes it as "partial 16S ribosomal RNA". It matches the Rfam family "Bacterial small subunit ribosomal RNA", at positions 1 to 100 of the family's 1533-position model. RNAcentral also lists the same sequence under 1 other name. Lineage: Bacteria; Pseudomonadati; Pseudomonadota; Gammaproteobacteria; Enterobacterales; Enterobacteriaceae. The record is from RNAcentral.